UUUUUAUUUGGGGGGGGGGUGGGGAUGACGUCAAGUCAUCAUGCCCCCUUACGACCGGGGCUACACACGUGUUACAAGGGGUAAACAAAAAGAAAGGGACCUCGCGAGAGCAACAAAUCUUCAAAAAAUAGUUCCAGUUCCGGAUUGGAGUUGCAAACCGCCUACCAGAAAGUGGAAAUGCUUGUUAUUGCGGGUCAGAAUUGCGCGGGGAAUACGUUCCCGGGCCUUGUACCCCCCCCCCGUCCCCCCCUGGGAGUUGGGAACCCCAGAAAUCGGUGAGCUAACCGCAAGGACCAGCCGCCGAAGUCAUAAUUCAUGACUGGGGGAAGUCUAACCCCUAGCCUGGCC
This 348-nucleotide ribosomal RNA is filed under the name Oxalobacter formigenes. RNAcentral's name for it is "partial 16S ribosomal RNA". It matches the Rfam family "Bacterial small subunit ribosomal RNA", at positions 1155 to 1506 of the family's 1533-position model. The record is from RNAcentral. Lineage: Bacteria; Pseudomonadati; Pseudomonadota; Betaproteobacteria; Burkholderiales; Oxalobacteraceae.